UACAGAGGGGGCAAGCGUUGUUCGGAAUUACUGGGCGUAAAGGGCGCGUAGGCGGCCUGCUAAGUCGAACGUGAAAUCCCUGGGCUCAACCCAGGAACUGCGUCCGAUACUGGUUGGCUUGAAUCCGGGAGAGGGAUGUGGAAUUCCAGGUGUAGCGGUGAAAUGCGUAGAUAUCUGGAGGAACACCGGUGGCGAAGGCGACAUCCUGGACCGGCAUUGACGCUGAGGCGCGAAAGCCAGGGGAGCAAACGGA
This 253-nucleotide ribosomal RNA is filed under the name uncultured bacterium. RNAcentral's name for it is "partial 16S ribosomal RNA". It matches the Rfam family "Bacterial small subunit ribosomal RNA", at positions 524 to 776 of the family's 1533-position model. The record is from RNAcentral.